RNAcentral lists this ribosomal RNA (497 nucleotides) under uncultured bacterium. Its description in RNAcentral is "partial 16S ribosomal RNA". It matches the Rfam family "Bacterial small subunit ribosomal RNA", at positions 28 to 507 of the family's 1533-position model. The record is from RNAcentral.
GAUGAACGCUGGGGGCGUGCCUAAUACAUGCAAGUCGAGCGAACGGACGAGAAGCUUGCUUCUCUGAUGUUAGCGGCGGACGGGUGAGUAACACGUGGAUAACCUACCUAUAAGACUGGGAUAACUUCGGGAAACCGGAGCUAAUACCGGAUGAUAUUUUGAACCGCAUGGUUCAAAAGUGAAAGACGGUCUUGCUGUCACUUAUAGAUGGAUCCGCGCUGCAUUAGCUAGUUGGUAAGGUAACGGCUUACCAAGGCAACGAUGCAUGGCCGACCUGAGAGGGUGAUCGGCCACACUGGAACUGAGACACGGUCCAGACUCCUACGGGAGGCAGCAGUAGGGAAUCUUCCGCAAUGGGCGAAAGCCUGACGGAGCAACGCCGCGUGAGUGAUGAAGGUCUUCGGAUCGUAAAACUCUGUUAUUAGGGAAGAACAUAUGUGUAAGUAACUGUGCACAUCUUGACGGUACCUAAUCAGAAAGCCACGGCUAACUACGUG